This 253-nucleotide ribosomal RNA is filed under the name uncultured bacterium. Its description in RNAcentral is "partial 16S ribosomal RNA". It matches the Rfam family "Bacterial small subunit ribosomal RNA", at positions 524 to 776 of the family's 1533-position model. The record is from RNAcentral.
UACGAAGGGGGCUAGCGUUGCUCGGAAUCACUGGGCGUAAAGGGUGCGUAGGCGGUCUGACAAGUCUGAUGUGAAAUCUAUGGGCUCAACCCAUAGUCUGCAUCGGAAACUGUCGGGCUGGAGUAUGGGAGAGGUGAGUGGAAUUUCCGGUGUAGCGGUGAAAUGCGUAGAUAUCGGAAGGAACACCUGUGGCGAAAGCGGCUCACUGGACCAUUACUGACGCUGAUGCACGAAAGCUAGGGGAGCAAACAGG